CCGCGGUAAUACGUAGGUCACAAACGUUGUCCGGAAUUAUUGGGCGUAAAGGGUCCGUAGGCGGUUCGGUAAGUCUCCCGUGAAAUCUUCAGGCUCAACUUGAAGAGGUCGGGGGAUACUGCCGAACUUGAGACUGACAGAGGCAAGUGGAAUUCCCGGUGUAGUGGUGAAAUGCGUAGAUAUCGGGAGGAACACCAGUGGCGAAAGCGGCUUGCUGGGUCAGUUCUGACGCUGAGGGACGAAAGCGUGGGUAGCAAACCGG
RNAcentral lists this ribosomal RNA (262 nucleotides) under uncultured bacterium. RNAcentral's name for it is "partial 16S ribosomal RNA". It matches the Rfam family "Bacterial small subunit ribosomal RNA", at positions 515 to 776 of the family's 1533-position model. The record is from RNAcentral.